AGUUCGAUCCUGGCUCAGAUUGAACGCUGGCGGGAUGCUUUACAUGCAAGUCAGACGGCAGCACGGACUUCGGUCUGGUGGCGAGUGGCGAGCGGGUGAGUAAUGUAUCGGAACGUGCCUAGUAGCGGGGAUGUACAUGGCGUAGCUAUUACCACGCUUACGCCCUUCGGGGGAAAGCGGGGGACCUUCGGGCCUCGCACUAUUAGAGCGGCCGAUAUCCGGAUUAGCUAGUUGGUGGGGUAACGGCUCACCAAGGCGACGAUCCGUAGCCGGUUUGAAGGACGACCAGCCACACUGGGACUGAGACACGGCCCAGACUCCUACGGGAGGCAGCAGUGGGAAUUUUGGACAAUGGGGAAACUUACAGUCAGCCAUCCCGCGUGUGCGAUGAAGGCCUUCGGGUUGUAAACACUUUUGGCAGGAAAGAAACGGCACGGGAUAAUACCCCGUGCAACUAAUAACAGAAUAUGCACCGGCUAACUACGUGCCAGCAGCGCAAUAUGCGUGGUGCAAGCGUUAUCAGAAUUACUGGGCGUAAGCGUGCCUGACAGACUGGAAAAAGAAUGUCUGAAAUCCCAGAGCUUAACUUUGGAACUGCAUUUUUAACUACCGAGCUAGAGUGUCAGAGGAGGUGGAAUUCGCGUGUGAACAAAUGCGUAGUGUCACGGAAGGCCUGAUGGCGAAGGCAGCCUCCUGGGAUAACACUGACGCUCAUGCACGAAAGCGUAGGGCGACAGGAUUAGAUACCCCUGUGAUGCACUAUAAGCGAUAUCGUAACUUAGCUUAUUUGGGCCUUCGGGCCUUGGUAGCGCAGCUAACGCGUGAAGUUGACCGCCUGGGAGUACGGUCGCAAGAUUAAACUCAAAGGAAUUGACGGGGACCCGCACAAGCGGUGGAUGAUGUGGAUUAAUUCGAUGCAACGCGAAAAACCUUACCUACCCUUGACAUGUCUGGAAUCCCGAAGAGAUUUGGAGUGCUCGCAAGAGAACCGGAACACAGGUGCUGCAUGGCUGUCGUCAGCUCGUGUCGUGAGAUGUUGGGUUAAGUCCCGCAACGAGCGCAACCCUUGUCAUUGACGUUGCUACGAAAGGGCACUCUAGUAAUGAGACCUGCCGGUAAACCGGAGGAAGGUGGGGAUGACGUCAAGUCCUCAUGGCCCAUAUGGGUAGGGCUUCACACGUCAUACAAUGGUCGGGACAGAGGGUCGCCAACCCGCGAGGAGCCAAUCCCAGAAACCCGAUCGUAGUCCGGAUCGCAGUCUGCCAUCAGCGACUGCGUGAGGUCGGAAUCGCUAGUAAUCGCGGAUCAGCAUGUCGCGGUGAAUACGUUCCGGGUCUUGUACACCGCCCGUCACACCAUGGGAGUGGGUUUUACCAGAAGUAGUUAGCCUAACCGUAAGGAGGGCGAUUACCACGGUAGGAUUCAUGACUGGGGUGAAGUCGUAACAAGGUAG
This 1453-nucleotide ribosomal RNA is filed under the name uncultured Bordetella sp. Its description in RNAcentral is "partial 16S-23S ribosomal RNA intergenic spacer". It matches the Rfam family "Bacterial small subunit ribosomal RNA". Lineage: Bacteria; Pseudomonadati; Pseudomonadota; Betaproteobacteria; Burkholderiales; Alcaligenaceae. The record is from RNAcentral.